Small nucleolar RNA from Tachyglossus aculeatus (Australian echidna), 133 nucleotides. The record is from RefSeq and is a predicted model, not a curated record. NCBI's taxonomy places the organism in Eukaryota, Metazoa, Chordata, Mammalia, Monotremata, Tachyglossidae.
CCCCUCUCAGGGUCGCAUCUGGAGAGUUUUCAGUAUUCUACCAGUCUCGACUACAGGAGGGAGAGUCAAGCAAAGGCAUAUCCAUUCUUAGCUUGGACAGUGGCUAGCGAGUGGAAGGCAGUCUGCUACAAGC